GGUGGGGAAAAAAAUGGGGACAGCUGGACCAACUUUUGCGCGCGCUGAAUUGAUUUCCCACCCUUCUUUUCCUCCCUUCGGAACAAAGAGAGGGCGCUUUUUUAGGUGGCCGACGGGUGCUGCCUCUAGCGGCCAGACAUAAUCUCUCGUGUCUGCUUCUCGCGUGUAUACUCACUAUCUCCCAGCUUGUUGAUCUUUUGUGAUUGCCAUUGUUUCUCUGAGGUUCUCGUCUACUUAUCUCUCUCGAAAACACAACAAAAAAUAGAAUUGUUCAUAUUUAGAAGAAAUCUUAGGUGAAAAACGAAAUGAAAAGAUAAGGAAAAAUAGCCGCAGAUGGGAACCGCGUGGGGGCACACAUGGCAGCUGCGUCCAACGAGACACGGUCGACACAUGGCGGUUCCAAUUGAAUUAUUUCACAUACGACAGCAGUUGCUUUCGUGAUGGUGCAGGAUCGCAACGGACAAAAAAAAAAAACACACACACACACAAAAGAGCAACAACAAAAAAUCGUCUUGAAUUAAAGAACGAUGGAGUAAAAAAAAAAAAACGAGAGUGGAGCGAACAAAAGAUGCAUUUUUUCCCACGAACAAAGAUGGCGUCAGCGUCUAUAAAUCAGCAGCGCGUCUUUUUUUUUUUUCUCUUCUUCUUUCUGAAUUUCUCGAUAGUUAAAAACGAUCUAACCUUUUUCUCUCUUCUAUACAUAAAGGAUCUUUUCCUAACCGACAUUUUCACUUUUAAAGAGCAUCUGCUGUUCAAUAUAAAGAACAACAACAAGCAAAACGAGUACUACUACUAUAUCGGAGAUAUCAAAAACCGAUAGGCUGAAAAACCCGUGUGGAUUUCACAGUGGGAAAAUAAAAAAAAUAAAAGAAUUUUCUUUUGUGUCUUUUCAGGUAGGCGCCCCGUAACGGAACUUUUUCCAGCAGCAGCAGCAGAAGGUCGACGGAAAGAUGAGAGAGCUGUGUGUGCCACAGGGCGAAAUCAACCAAAAAUAAGAUUUCCCCACCAAUUCGUGAUGAACGUCGACGAGCUUACGGUUGCUGACCUUUCACCUGGAAUUUACUCGCCAUUCGUCUUCCACGAGUUUUCUUGUUAUGCUCACAGGAGGACCAUCUGCUGCACACACAUCGCCACUUCCACAUAUUUGCUCAGUUGGUCAGACACAAAAACAUCUGGAAACUGGGAUAGAAAAAAACAAAAAAACAUGGCCGACUUUGAAACAAAACGAUCUUUUUUUUUCCUAUUUAAUGAGCCCUUGAACUUUUUUCAUCAUUAAGAAUUCAAUGUCAUGACUGGAUAGGAAAUAAAUCGAUAAUACAAGAAAACGAGUUUUAAAGAAAACGAAAAUUGUCGUCUAAACAGGAAAAAAAAAAAGAACGUGGAACUUUGAAAAAGACGAAAAUAGCUCACGAUGGGGGGUUUCAAAUUUCAAAGUCCCCCCCACCCCCUAACAUGCCACAUGGUCUGUCUGUGUAUAAGCCCAGCAUUUUUCGUUAAAAAAGAAAAAAACUCUUUGUGUUCUUUCUCGUUAGACACGCACUUCGUCGUGUCCGUGCACAUUUAUAAGGCCCCGUAUAAAUGACCUCCAUCUUAAAUAACCUUUCACCUUCAUUUGCCUAGGUCGAAUUCGGUUAGAAGGUUGUAAAAAAAAACCAAAAAAAAGAAAUCUAUGAUUGCAGGGGUAAUCAUCAAUGUGCGAAAUAAACGUAUCGUUCUCACGGUCAACAGCUGCCGACGAAACAAAGAGAAGGUCCUUAUCUGCCAUCUUGUGUGUGUGUUUGUCACAUGGCAAUUUUUUAUUGUAGUGAUUAUCUCGAAGGCCUAGGAAAAUAUAAUGAUUUCCUGUCGGACGCCAGAGGGCUGUUUUCUGCGCCAAAGUCCAAAAACCCCUGCGGAUACGAAAAAGAAGAACCUUUCCGCUGGGGUAACACUGAAAAUUUGCUUAAAUAUUUGUCUAGCCCGAGGCUGAACGUCCUUUUGCCCUUCAAAAAAGUUUCUGUUUUUCGUUAACUAGAGAGAGAGAGCUGAACCGGUUUUAAAUAAAAAAAAUAAAAUACAUUUUCGAUCCGCAUAAUUCAUGAAACGCAUUUCGGAAUUAACCCCCCACCCCCUUUACACGAGUAAAAAUAAAUUUUAUAUACACACGAAAACGCAUUAAAAAGUGUGACAGGACGGUGUGUGUGUGUGUGUGGCGGCGUUCUAUUGUUGGGGGUGCGCCGGACGUUGCUCAUUUGUUACAUAGUGAAAAACCCAGUUUCCGGCCCCCCUUCCUCCCGUGUCAGCUGCCAUUUUUCAAACAAUGUUUAAAAAAAUAUAUAUAUCAAAAUUUAAAAAAAUAAUAAUAAUAAUAUUCUAUUCCGUGAAGCC
Molecule: long non-coding RNA, 2367 nt
Filed under: Daphnia magna
Lineage: Eukaryota; Metazoa; Arthropoda; Branchiopoda; Diplostraca; Daphniidae
Description: uncharacterized LOC116917431, transcript variant X2
Source: RNAcentral